CGAACGAAACGAGAGCUUAGCUUGCUUUGCUCAAGUUUAGUGGCGAACGGGUGAGUAACACGUGAGCAACCUGCCCAGAAGCGGGGGAUAGCCCGGGGAAACUCGGAUUAAUACCGCAUGUGGUCUCCGGCGGCAUCGCCGGAAGAUUAAAGGUGGGGACCCUUCGGGGCCUGCCACUUCUGGAUGGGCUCGCGGCCUAUCAGCUUGUUGGUGAGGUAACGGCUCACCAAGGCUACGACGGGUAGCUGGUCUGAGAGGAUGAUCAGUCACACUGGAACUGAGACACGGUCCAGACACCUACGGGUGGCAGCAGUCGAGAAUCAUUCGCAAUGGGGGAAACCCUGACGGUGCGACGCCGCGUGGAGGAUGACGGCCCUAGGGUUGUAAACUCCUGUCAUCGGGGAGUAAGACUCACGGUUUAAUAGACCGCGAGGUUGAUAGUACCCGAAGAGGAAGAGACGGCUAACUCUGUGCCAGCAGCCGCGGUAAUACAGAGGUCUCAAGCGUUGUUCGGAAUCACUGGGCGUAAAGCGUAUGUAGGCUGUACGGUAAGUCAGACGUGAAAGCCCAGGGCUCAACCCUGGAACUGCAUCCGAUACUGCCAUACUAGAGUAGUGGAGGGGUAUAUGGAAUUCACGGUGUAGCAGUGAAAUGCGUAGAUAUCGUGAGGAACACU
This 676-nucleotide ribosomal RNA is filed under the name uncultured bacterium. RNAcentral's name for it is "bacterial SSU rRNA". It matches the Rfam family "Bacterial small subunit ribosomal RNA", at positions 63 to 710 of the family's 1533-position model. The record is from RNAcentral.